AGUCAUUCUGCCCAUUGAUUUUUAAAGGCUGCAGUAUAUUAACUGUACAAAGGUAGCAUAAUAAAUAGUUUUUUAAUUGAAAACUUGAAUGAAAGAAUUAAUAAAAUAUAAAUUGUCUCAAUUAUUGAAAUUAAAUAAAAAGUUAAAAUGCUUUUAUUUUAAUAUUAGACGAUAAGACCCUAAGAAUUUAAUUUUUUUAUUUAAUUUUAAAUUUUUAAUUAAAUAAAAAAAAUUUAUUGGGAGGAUAAUUAAAUAUAACUUUAAUUUUAAUUAAUAUUUAUAAUUAAAAUUAAUGAUUAUUAUUAUAAUUAUAAGAAAUAAUUACCUUAGGGAUAACAGCGUAAUAAUUUUGGAGAGUUCAUAUUGAUAAAAUUGUUUGCGACCUCGAUGUUGAAUUAAAAUAAAAUUUAAAUGGAGAUAUUUAAGUUUUUAGUC
This 435-nucleotide ribosomal RNA is filed under the name Leipomeles spilogastra. Its description in RNAcentral is "partial large subunit ribosomal RNA". Lineage: Eukaryota; Metazoa; Arthropoda; Insecta; Hymenoptera; Vespidae. The record is from RNAcentral.